CCAGAUUCAGCCACCAGCCUUGGAUUCAGAGGAGAAAUGGUAGAACACGGAUGAACUGAGCUGUUGAGUUCUGCCGAACCCCAGAAUCCAGCAAACACUCUCACCUACUCUGACUCAAAUAUGUUUACUGCCUCUUCUAAGGCUUGAGAGCUGUGCAACAGCAUUGGUGACAAUCAAGAUGAUGCUGCUUGUCAACACUAAGCCAAAACAGAUUAUUGUGAUGAGGGAAUCAAAUCUCUCCGAAGACAAUCAUGAAAUCUGACACCAUAGACUCCUGCAGCCUCUCUUGUUAUCAAUCAGCUGUGGGUUAAAUUCUCUCAGAGAAGAAAGUAAUCAAAGUUUAUUUCAGAGUGCAUUAAGAAAAUUUCCUAGACCUCAGUGAAAUA
Molecule: long non-coding RNA, 386 nt
Organism: Poecile atricapillus (Black-capped chickadee)
Lineage: Eukaryota; Metazoa; Chordata; Aves; Passeriformes; Paridae
Exons: 3
Source: RefSeq, a predicted model, not a curated record